Long non-coding RNA from Homo sapiens (human), 3300 nucleotides. RefSeq lists it as uncharacterized. The transcript has 3 exons. The record is from RefSeq and is a predicted model, not a curated record. NCBI's taxonomy places the organism in Eukaryota, Metazoa, Chordata, Mammalia, Primates, Hominidae.
GCGAGCGCCAGGUGCGGAGCGGGCGUUAGAAGUUGCUGGCAGUCAGAGGCAGGGGAGCUGUCACUCGCGGCGAGCCGGGCGGCGGCCAGGGCGCAAAGUUGAGAGCAGUCUCUAGUCUGAGCCUUUCAGUCGCCUUCCAGUAUCAUCAGUACCACGGGCUCCACCUUGCUGCGGCCCCUCAGCAACCCAGUGCACCUGCCACUCGACCAGAGGGAAAGCAGUCAGGAGUGGGAGGCCUCUGAACAAGCUGUAUUUUGUGUAGCCGCCAGCUUCCAUCUUUCUCCAGGCAGAACGCUGGCCCUCAGCACAUCUUUCUGCUUCCCCUCGGUCAGACCACCGAGAACUGCCGCUGUCCUGUCUGACUCCUCCUGUUUUGAAGCAGCCCCAAUUGAAACCAGCUCCACCUGUGAUCCUAGGAAGAGAGAGCAUCUUCUCUGGGAAGAAAUGCCCUGGGGAAGACUCUUGGUCAUGGGGACUGGGCGCUGUGACAGGACUUCGUGAACUACAUGGAUUGUAGCUGUUGGGGUGACAACAUAUCCAUACUUCAUCUUGAUAAGACAUAUCAUUUGAUGGUUGAAAGCUGUAAUUAUUUUAAGAUAAUACACAAUAGAUUUUAAUAGCUUUAUCAAGAUAUAAUUCACAUACCAUAGGACUUACCCAUUUAAAGUGUACAGUUCAAUGGUUUUAAUGUAUUCACAGUUGUGCAGCUAUCACCACUGUCUAAUCUGUAACAUUUCCAUCACCAAAAGAAACUUUGCACCUAUUAGCAGUCACUCCCCAUUUUUCCCAAGCCCCUCAGCCUUAAGCAACCACUCAUCUACUUUCUGUCUCUAUAGAUUUGCCUAUUUCAGACAUUUUGUAUGAGUGGGAAUCAUACGACAUGCGGUCUUUUGUGUCUGACUUCUUUCAUUAGCAUGUUUUCAAGGUUUGUCUAUCUUUGCAUAUCAUCAUGCAUUUCUUAUUAUUGCCAAACAUUCCAUUAUAUGGAUAUACCACAUUUUAUUUGUCUGUCUGUUGAUGGACAUUUGGGUUGUUUUCACAUUUUCGCAAUUAUGAAUAAUGCCACUGUGAACAUUUGUGUAGAAGCUUAAGUUUUCAGUUCUUUUGUGUGUAUACCUGGUAGUGGAAUUGCUGGGUCAUAGGAUAACUGUGCCUAACAUUUUGAGGAGCUGUUUUCAAAGUGACUGUACCAUUUUACAUUCUCACCAUCAAUGUGUGAUGGUUCCAGUUUCUUUACAUUAAAUAAUGGCCUGUUUACUUGUCUUCUUGCCUUGUAUUGGAGUUCUCCCAGUGGGUUCUGAAUCUGCUCCACCUCAUCCAGUUGUCCAGGUAAGCAGACCAUGUUGAUCAAAGGAUCAGAAGUGUAUGUUUGUUUGUUUUUCUUUUUCUUUAUAAAUUUCAUUAUUUACAAACCUUGACAGGGAUUAUUCUUAUUUUCAUAUUAAGAAAGAAGUUGUAAAUACCAGAGGUUACUUGGUUGAGGUAGGAACAGGGAUUUGUAUUUAGGAUUUAUUAGGUGUUAGAGAGCUGCUUGCUUCAGAUCUGCAGUGUCAGCCUACUUUGAUAUGAUAGGUGGCAUUCAUAUGACACACAUUCUCACUUGUGUUCACUGUGUUAUAUGUAGUUCCCAGCAAACUAGUUGUAUCUCUACUGUUUUUUUCCUAGAAAUGUGAGGGCAAGAGUAAUGUUUUAGGAAUAAUCUUUAUUAAAUUGUUCAUAAACUUGACUUUUAAUUUUCAUUAGUAUUAAUUACUUGCAGCACACCAAAACUGAGCUGCUUUUCUGUGAUUCACAAUUGUUGCUUCUGACUACUUUAUUAUGCCGACUUUUGUUAUCAGCCCUGUAGGGCUAUUUAACAUUCACCUUGAAGUCAGUAUAAAAUUUGAUACUCUGGCAGUCUGUAUUCAGAGAUGCAUAGAUGGUCUUCCAUCGGUGGCUUUCUCCCUAGCCCUAGAGCAGUCCAUGUAUCCAGACUCCAUAUUGAGUCUUGCCUUCUCAGCACAACAUAAGAGAAUCUAUGUUGAUCACACAUUAUGCAAAAAUCUAUGUUGAUCUCUUGCCGCUGAUUUGCCACAUAUCACUAUAUAGCUUGAAAGUCAAGAACUUGUGAUUUAGAAUUGCUGUUCAGCUCAUGCUUAAUAUUUUAAUGACAUCAAGCAAUAGCAAGAAGAGAUUACACAUAUUGGCAGCACCUUCUAAACUUGGGAUAAUGUGGUGAUCUCCGUAAGAUAAAACAGGAGCUUGCAGGUAUUUAACAACAGAUUUUUGUAAAGCUGAUAAUGUGCCAGGGAUAGGUGCUGGGGGAUACAAUAAACAAAAUGGAUAAAAAUCUCUGUCCUUAUAAAAUGUACAUCCCAGUGAUUAAUGAUUUACUGUGAGAUCAUUUAUAAUGUGUAACAUCCAGAUAAAAAAACUAUUGUGAUUUUUUUUUGGUAGCAGUGUCUGAACACUUUAAAAUUCUAAAAAAGAAAAGUAAGGAAUUAAAAAUGUUUAAAUUGGUGCAUUUAGCUAGUAUAUUAUGUAAGUAAUUAUUGGCUAAGUACCCCAAAGACAAGGUAUUACAGAUCCCAAUCUAAUCAUUAAAAGUUAACACUUUUUAUAUUGACCUGAUCCUUAUUGAAAAGUGUAUUAUUUUAGUGAGAGGCAGUGCAAUCUCAAAAUCAACAUCAUACCUCUAAAUUGAUAAGUUGAUGUUGUAUCAAAUAGAAAUUUCAUGAUAAUGAGGCAGGUCAGUAUUUGAAUUUUUCAGUUCUUUAGAAGCAUAAUUUGAAGACUUGUAAAAUUAAUAGGACCGUUGAAAUUGACUUUUAUUUUUAAACAUCAGACAGGUAAUGUGCUGAUGUAAAAAGGUUGAGGAAGAAGAUUUGGAAUCUUGUAAAAUUAAUAGGACAGUUGAAAUUGACCUUUAUUUUUAAACAUCACACAGUAAUGUGCUGAUAUUGUAAAAAAGUUUGGGUUUCCACACUCACAUGUGAGUUAUCACAUGUGAUAUUUAUCAUCACAUGUUGUCACAUAAGUUAUCAUCACACUUAGGAAUUACAAAAGGAUCAAAAUAGACCUUUUUUUUUUAAAUGGAUUUGGGUACUUUUUACCCAGUAGUACCAGGCACCUGGAGAUGAAUGCUUUCAAGUGAAAUAAGAAAGGAUCACAAUUCUUAUUUGGGCUAAUGCUUCUGAUAGGCACAGCAGGAAUGAAUGAAUGAAUAAAUGAAUGAAUGAAUCUUAUUAGCAUAUAUAAUAAAUAAGUAAAAAACUUUACAAGAUAAUUUUAGUUAGUGAUAAGUACUGUAGAGUCAGUAAA